GGGGCCGUAGCUCAGUUGGGAGAGCGCAGCGUUCGCAAUGCUGAGGCCGUCGGUUCAAUCCCGAUCGGCUCCACAA
RNAcentral lists this transfer RNA (76 nucleotides) under Fidelibacterota bacterium. Its description in RNAcentral is "tRNA-Ala". It matches the Rfam family "tRNA". From Rfam's summary of the family: Transfer RNA (tRNA) molecules are approximately 80 nucleotides in length. Their secondary structure includes four short double-helical elements and three loops (D, anti-codon, and T loops). Further hydrogen bonds mediate the characteristic L-shaped molecular structure. tRNAs have two regions of fundamental functional importance: the anti-codon, which is responsible for specific mRNA codon recognition, and the 3' end, to which the tRNAs corresponding amino acid is attached (by aminoacyl-tRNA synthetases). tRNAs cope with the degeneracy of the genetic code in two manners: having more than one tRNA (with a specific anti-codon) for a particular amino acid; and 'wobble' base-pairing, i.e. permitting non-standard base-pairing at the 3rd anti-codon position. Lineage: Bacteria; Pseudomonadati; Fidelibacterota. The record is from RNAcentral.